Molecule: unclassified non-coding RNA, 363 nt
Filed under: uncultured bacterium
Lineage: Bacteria
Description: contains 16S-23S intergenic spacer region
Source: RNAcentral
UCCCUAUUACUAGAGCAGUCCAAGUAGAAAAAUACAACUACUUGCAAGGGUUGCGCUCGUUGAUGGACUUAACCAAACAUCUCACGACACGAGCUGACGACGGCCAUGCAACACCUGUCACUUGGUUCCAAAAGGCACACUGUGCUUUCGCACUGCUUCCAAGGAUGUCAAACCCUGGUAAGGUUCUUCGUUUAUCAUCGAAUUAAAGAACACGAUCCACCGCUUGUGCUGAUCCCCGUCAAUUCCUUUAUGUUUUAGUCUUGCGACCGUACUCCACAGGCGGGAUACUUAACGCGUUAGCUUCGCUACUGAAGGGGUCGAUACCUCCAACAGCUAGUAUCCAUCGUUUACGGCGUGGACUAC